GUGGGGAAUUUUGGACAAUGGGCGAAAGCCUGAUCCAGCCAUGCCGCGUGCAGGAUGAAGGCCUUCGGUUUGUAAACUGCUUUUGUACGGAACGAAAAGACUCCUUCUAAUAAAGGGGGUCCAUGACGGUACCGUAAGAAUAAGCACCGGCUAACUACGUGCCAGCAGCCGCGGUAAUACGUAGGGUGCAAGCGUUAAUCGGAAUUACUGGGCGUAAAGCGUGUGCAGGCGGCUCUGCAAGACAGAUGUGAAAGCCCCGGGCUCAACCUGGGAACUGCAUUUGUGACUGCAAGGCUAGAGUGCGUCAGAGGGAGGUGGAAUUCCGCGUGUAGCAGUGAAAUGCGUAGAGAUGCGGAGGAACACCGAUGGCGAAGGCAGCCUCCUGGGAUGACACUGACGCUCAUGCACGAAAGCGUGGGGAGCAAACAGGAUUAGAAACCCCUGUAGUCC
Molecule: ribosomal RNA, 450 nt
Filed under: uncultured bacterium
Lineage: Bacteria
Description: partial 16S ribosomal RNA
Rfam family: Bacterial small subunit ribosomal RNA
Source: RNAcentral